This 252-nucleotide ribosomal RNA is filed under the name uncultured bacterium. Its description in RNAcentral is "partial 16S ribosomal RNA". It matches the Rfam family "Bacterial small subunit ribosomal RNA", at positions 525 to 776 of the family's 1533-position model. The record is from RNAcentral.
ACGGAGGGUGCAAGCGUUAAUCGGAAUUACUGGGCGUAAAGCGCGCGUAGGCGGCUUGAUCAGUCGGGUGUGAAAGCCCCGGGCUCAACCUGGGAAUUGCAUUCGAUACUGUCAGGCUAGAGUGUGGUAGAGGGAAGCGGAAUUCCAGGUGUAGCGGUGAAAUGCGUAGAUAUCUGGAGGAACAUCAGUGGCGAAGGCGGCUUCCUGGACUGACACUGACGCUGAGGUGCGAAAGCGUGGGGAGCAAACAGG